GGAGCUACCAAAUCUGCAGCUCAGUUUUUCAAAAACCACCUCGUGAUGUGCACACCCUGGAGCCGCCAUCCCCGCCCUGGUGCGAGCUCUUCGCUCCCCAGCCCCGGCCCCUCUUCCAGGUUCUUUUCGAGUCUCCCCCGGGCCUCCGCAGACGCCGGCUCCAGCCAGGGGCCCGUCUCCCCGCUGUCGCCCCAACUUCUGCAGCCCAGGAGCUGCUCCCGGACGACGGCGCCUGGACCGCGCCGAGAGUGGGGCUGUGUUUUGUCAACUAGGCAACACCAGACACGCGGACGAGUCCAGAAAAUUAUACUGAUGACACCCACGGCCCCCACUCAAGAGUAAACAUAAAACGUUUUGCUUCAUUUACUUGGUACUUAUUAAAGAAAUAUAAAAUUAGACCUAACUAGAGCCCUACCCUUAUUUCUCCUUCCUCCCAAUCACUGGGCUCAAGUGGGUUUACGAAAACGACGUCAUGCUGAAUAAUCUUUUGCAACUUUUCUCAUUUCCUGUUAUGUUUUGGAGAUUCAUCUUUUUAGAUAUUGACUAUUCAUUUUCUAUGAUGGAAAAGGACGCUCUGGCUAUUUUGUAUCCUCAACAAAAGUAUGAUCUUCCCUGCUCCCAUUCUUUCAGUGUGGUUAUAUGAUAAUUUUUGCUCUCCAACAGAAUAGUGGAAGACAUGGCUGAGUCUAUGAAUGGAGCACUUGGACUUCUUGCUCCACCCGGACCGGUCGCUCUGUGGGGCCGACUGCUGCCCCCACCAUCAUCCUGAGGGUCCCUUCAUCCCCCGUCCUCUAACCUGCUUCCUGCAUCCCCCGUUGUGCUCGCACUUCAUGUACUCCUUCACUGUAGUGGAGAACAGUCCCCACUAGUUUCCUGAGAAAAAAAAGAGUACAUAAAACAUAAAACCCA
This is a non-coding RNA of Leptonychotes weddellii (Weddell seal), 909 nucleotides long. The record is from RefSeq and is a predicted model, not a curated record. Lineage: Eukaryota; Metazoa; Chordata; Mammalia; Carnivora; Phocidae.